CCUACUUGCUGAAAGCAAAAAUGGAAUGGCCGAUCAUGAAUUCUAUGACGUUUUUAAGACCUCACUAAUCAGCCAACCACUUUUUAGUUCAUAAUGAAUGAACCCCCGGAUGAAAAAAAAAUUUCCCCUCCCUUUUACUAAACCAUGGGGAGCCCCGAGUAGUUUACCGGACAAAUUGAGUUGUCGUGACGAUACCUUUCAACAUCGGAAAAGACUUCUCUUCAUCACGAGACUGAUCGGAUCUGCCGUAGACACCCGAGAGAUCUUCACAAGGCAGGCUAAAAUAAAAGACUAAGAGGCGCUGCAAGCGAGCA
This 314-nucleotide long non-coding RNA is filed under the name Nicotiana benthamiana. Its description in RNAcentral is "long non-coding RNA (NBEN_LNC017034)". Lineage: Eukaryota; Viridiplantae; Streptophyta; Magnoliopsida; Solanales; Solanaceae. The record is from RNAcentral.